AACAGGAUUAGAUACCCUGGUAGUCCACGCCGUAAACGAUGUCGACUUGGAGGUUGUGCCCUUGAGGCGUGGCUUCCGGAGCUAACGCGUUAAGUCGACCGCCUGGGGAGUACGGCCGCAAGGUUAAAACUCAAAUGAAUUGACGGGGGCCCGCACAAGCGGUGGAGCAUGUGGUUUAAUUCGAUGCAACGCGAAGAACCUUACCUGGCCUUGACAUCCAGAGAACUUAGCAGAGAUGCUUUGGUGCCUUCGGGAACUCUGAGACAGGUGCUGCAUGGCUGUCGUCAGCUCGUGUUGUGAAAUGUUGGGUUAAGUCCCGCAACGAGCGCAACCCUUAUCCUUUGUUGCCAGCGGUUCGGCCGGGAACUCAAAGGAGACUGCCGGUGAUAAACCGGAGGAAGGUGGGGAUGACGUCAAGUCAUCAUGGCCCUUACGGCCAGGGCUACACACGUGCUACAAUGGCGCAUACAAAGAGAAGCGACCUCGCGAGAGCAAGCGGACCUCAUAAAGUGCGUCGUAGUCCGGAUUGGAGUCUGCAACUCGACUCCAUGAAGUCGGAAUCGCUAGUAAUCGUAGAUCAGAAUGCUACGGUGAAUACGUUCCCGGGCCUUGUACACACCGCCCGUCACACCAUGGGAGUGGGUUGCAAAAGAAGUAGGUAGCUUAACCUUCGGGAGGGCGCUUACCACUUUGUGAUUCAUGACUGGGGUGAAGUCGUAACAAGGUAACC
RNAcentral lists this ribosomal RNA (730 nucleotides) under uncultured bacterium. RNAcentral describes it as "bacterial SSU rRNA". It matches the Rfam family "Bacterial small subunit ribosomal RNA", at positions 771 to 1501 of the family's 1533-position model. The record is from RNAcentral.